Molecule: ribosomal RNA, 107 nt
Filed under: Phialocephala fortinii
Lineage: Eukaryota; Fungi; Ascomycota; Leotiomycetes; Helotiales; Mollisiaceae
Also listed under: 1 other name
Description: partial 5.8S ribosomal RNA
Rfam family: 5.8S ribosomal RNA
About the family: 5.8S ribosomal RNA (5.8S rRNA) is a component of the large subunit of the eukaryotic ribosome.
Source: RNAcentral
GAAAUGCGAUAAGUAAUGUGAAUUGCAGAAUUCAGUGAAUCAUCGAAUCUUUGAACGCACAUUGCGCCCUGUGGUAUUCCGCAGGGCAUGCCUGUUCGAGCGUCAUU